This is a small nucleolar RNA of Salvia splendens (bonfire salvia), 96 nucleotides long. RefSeq annotates it as small nucleolar RNA R32/R81/Z41. Lineage: Eukaryota; Viridiplantae; Streptophyta; Magnoliopsida; Lamiales; Lamiaceae. The record is from RefSeq and is a predicted model, not a curated record. The transcript has a single exon.
GGAGGAAGAUGAUGAGUAGAAUUGAUGCGUGAUGGUGAAUUCCACUUGAUCGAUUUUAUGUAUUUCUCACUUCGCUACGUUCUUUCUGAUUCGUCC